This 576-nucleotide ribosomal RNA is filed under the name Nipponacmea fuscoviridis. Its description in RNAcentral is "partial large subunit ribosomal RNA". It matches the Rfam family "Bacterial large subunit ribosomal RNA", at positions 1803 to 2549 of the family's 2925-position model. The record is from RNAcentral. Lineage: Eukaryota; Metazoa; Mollusca; Gastropoda; Lottiidae.
UUUUUAAAAAACAUGGCCCUUUGCCCGACUCAUAUUGGGUCGUACCUGCACAAUGGCCCCCAUAAGGGGCUAAAUUGCCGCGGUACCCUGACCGUGCGAAGGUAGCGAAAUAAUUUGCCUAUUAAUUGUUGGCCAGAAAUGAAUGGUGUGACGCUGGUGGCGCUGUCUCGUUAGUAUUGAUUUGAAUUUGACCUCUGGGUGAAAAGGCCCAGAUAGACCUGAAAGACGAUAAGACCCUGUCGAACUUUAAGUAGAUCCGUUUUAGGGAAAACGGUUAAGCUUUUGGUUGGGAAAACCGGAGGUAAGAAAAAACACCUCCUCCCUUUGAGACACCCGUUAUUUAUGGGGUAAUAGAGAGUUUACCUUAAGGGCAAUUGGCCUAAUGGAAAGUAAGGUGAUGGUGGAAUAAGAGUCCGACAGGACAUAGUUAACUAAUAAAACGAACCUAAAGACCCGUCUUAUGGUCGGGAAGCUAUUAACAAGGAAUAGUUACCGCAGGGAUAACAGCGUAAUCCCCCCGGCGAGACCACAUUAAUGGGGGGGUUUGCGACCUCGAUGUUGGCUUAGGGCUUCCUA